CCUACGGGUGGCAGCAGUGAGGAAUAUUGGUCAAUGGGCGGAAGCCUGAACCAGCCAAGUCGCGUGCGGGAUGAAGGCCCUACGGGUCGUAAACCGCUUUUGCACGGGGGUAACACGCUCCACUUGUGGACUUCUGCAGGUACCGUGCGAAUAAGGGCCGGCUAAUUCCGUGCCAGCAGCCGCGGUAAUCCGGAAGGCCCGAGCGGUUUACGGAUUGAUUUGGCGUUAAGGGAUCGUAGGCGGGCGUUCAAGUCAGCUGUAAAAUCUCGGGGAUAAACCGCGUCCCGCCGUUGACACUGGAAGUCUUGAGUUGACAACAGGUAGGCGGAAUUCGUGGUGUAGCGGUGAAAUGCAUAGAUAUCACGAGGAACACCGAUUGCGAAGGCAGCAUGCCGGGGUGCGACUGACGCUGAGGCUCGAAGGUGAGGGUAUCAAACAGGAUUAGAUACCCCAGUAGUC
This 459-nucleotide ribosomal RNA is filed under the name uncultured bacterium. RNAcentral's name for it is "partial 16S ribosomal RNA". It matches the Rfam family "Bacterial small subunit ribosomal RNA", at positions 338 to 795 of the family's 1533-position model. The record is from RNAcentral.